UCACUGGGUUCGCGAUUGUUU
This 21-nucleotide microRNA is filed under the name Heliconius melpomene (postman butterfly). RNAcentral describes it as "Hme-Mir-3-P24_3p (mature (guide))". Lineage: Eukaryota; Metazoa; Arthropoda; Insecta; Lepidoptera; Nymphalidae. The record is from RNAcentral.